Molecule: long non-coding RNA, 1172 nt
Filed under: Gouania willdenowi (blunt-snouted clingfish)
Lineage: Eukaryota; Metazoa; Chordata; Actinopteri; Blenniiformes; Gobiesocidae
Description: lncRNA (ENSGWIG00000007219.1)
Source: RNAcentral
CGAUGGCCGGGGCUUCGUUGGGUGUGGACAGUGUCCAGUUCAGCUGCUCCAUCUGCCUGGAGCGUCUCAGAGAGCCCGUCACCAUCCCGUGUGGUCACAGCUACUGCAUGGCGUGUCUGAGCGACUACUGGGAUGGCCAGCGACACAGCAGCUGUCCUCAGUGCAGAGCCGUAUUCAAGCCCCGCCCCAAACUGGGACGCAACAACCUGCUGGUGGAGAUGAUGGAGAAACUGGGAGUCAUGGGACCGUCUGCACCCCCCAUGGAGGAGGCCGUCGGCUUCCAGCACCCGACCUUUGACCUUUCUUUGGUGCGUCCGGAGAGAAACAUGGAGCAGAAACUUGUGGGUGAAACACGGCGAAACAUCGCAGCCGAGAUUCAGCGCAAAGAACUGGAAUUUCAUCAGCUGAGAAACGCUCAGACGUCCUUCUGCCGUCAGGUCAAGGUCGCGCUGAAGGACAGCAGCAGCGUGUUCUCAGAGCUUCAGGAGUUCCUGGAGCGUCGUCGUGUGGAGAUGAAGGAGCUGAUCAGAGCUCAGGAGAAGUCCGAGCUCACCAGAGCAGAAACCCACCUCCAACAUCUGGAGAAACAGAUGUUGGAGCUGAGGAGGAGAGACGCUGAGCUGCACAGGCUGUCCCAGCUCCAGAACCUGGACCAGAACCUCAUCAUCCAGGUGUGUCAGCCGUUCUCUGCUCCUGGUUCUGCUGAGUCACUCUCUGUGGUUCCUGAUGUUUCUUUUGGAGUCGUGAGGAACAUCGUCUCUGAUCUGAAGGAUCAGCUGCAGAACUUUUACCUCUCUGAGUUCCAAGCAGUCGCUACUGCAGGUCAGCACACAUGUUACAGCGUUUAUCAUUGAUAGAACCGAUUAGAACGUGAACCUGUUUACAGUUUAUGCUGUGAAGAUAGUUUUUGUUUCUAUGACAUUUCAUAUUUCUCUAAAAUGGCGUUAUAUUUUAUUUUAUUAUAUUUUAUUUCUAUGGCAUCUUUUCAGCUGACUGAUAAGGAAACGUACCUGGCAUCGCAGGCUGAGCAGGUCAAUAAUUAUUGUUUGUUUCUCUACAAACUUCUGUUCAAAACGAGGAAACAAACGUACAGUUUCUAACAGGAGAUAAAGCUGAUGUUUCUUAUUUUAACCCUUUGCUUUAUUUUGAUUAUUGGUGCUUUAUUGAGAGCC